RNAcentral lists this ribosomal RNA (423 nucleotides) under uncultured Thermoprotei archaeon. Its description in RNAcentral is "bacterial SSU rRNA". It matches the Rfam family "Archaeal small subunit ribosomal RNA", at positions 322 to 747 of the family's 1478-position model. Lineage: Archaea; Thermoproteati; Thermoproteota; Thermoprotei. The record is from RNAcentral.
CCUAUGGGGGGCAGCAGUCGCGAAAACUUUGCAAUACACGAAAGUGUGACAGGGCUAUCCCGAGUGCCAUCCGCUGAGGAAGGCUUUUACCCAGUCUAGAACGCUGGGGGAAUAAGGAGAGGGCAAGUCUGGUGUCAGCCGCCGCGGUAAUACCAGCUCUCCGAGUGGUGUGGAUGUUUAUUGGGCCUAAAGCAUCCGUAGCUGGCUAAGUUAGUCCCCUGUUAAAUCCAACGAAUUAAUCGUUGGAUCGCGGGGGAUACUGCUUGGCUAGGGGACGAGAGAGGCAGACGGUAUUUCCGGGGUAGGGGUGAAAUCCUAUAAUCCCGGGAAGACCACCAGUGGCGAAGGCUGUCUGCUAGAACGCGCCCGACGGUGAGGGAUGAAAGCUGGGGGAGCGAACCGGAUUAGAUACCCCCGUAGUCC